AGGAGUCCAACAUGCGUGCGAGUAGGAGGGUGAAAACCCCACUGCGCAACGAAAGUGAGCCUGUCAAACAGGGCCGCGUCGAGCGAGCUCAGCAGGCAUGUUGGGACCCGAAAGAUGGUGAACUAUGCUUGGGAAUGGCGAAGCCAGGGGAAACUCUGGUGGAGGCUUGUAGAGAUACUGACGUGCAAAUCGUUCUUCUAACCUGAGUAUAGGGGCGAAAGACUAAUCGAACCAUCUAGUAGCUGGUUCCCUCCGAAAUUUCCCUCAGGAUAGCUGGCGCCAUGCAGUUGUGCCGGGUAAAGCGAAUGACUAGAGGCAGGGAGUUGUAACAACUUUCACCUAUUCUCAAACUUUGAAUCGGCACGAAAGAGAAGUUACUUCGCUGAACUUCUCUGCGAAUGUAGGCGCCAUGUGGGCCAUUUUUGGUAAGCAGAACUGGCGACGAGGGCUGAACCUAAGGCGAGGUUAAGGCGACCAAUUGGCCGCUCAUCAGACCCCAGAAAAGGUGUUAGUUCAUUUAGACAGUAGGACGGUGGCCAUGGAAGUCGGAACCCGCUAAGGAGUGUGUAACAACUCACCUACCGAAUGGACUAGCCCUGAAAAUGGAUGUCGCUAAGCAGCCAGCCGAUACCUCGCUGUGCAUCUUGCUUGGAUGCACAGGUAGGAGGGCGUGAGGGCCGCGGCGAAGUGCGCGUGAGAACGCGUGUGGAGCGACCUUCAGUGCAGAUCUUGGUGGUAGUAGCAAGUAUUCAAAUGAGAACUUUGAAGACUGAAGUGGAGAAGGCUUUCAUGUGAACAGCACUUGGACAUGAGUCACUCGGUCCUGAGUCCAGGGGGAGUCCCGCGAAGACACUGUCCAGGACGAAAGGGAAUGAGGUUAAUAUUCCUCAAGCAGGCGUUGGGUGCUUAGUGGCAACACAAACGAACUCAAAGACGUCGGGGCGAGGUCCCAGGGAGAGUUCUCUUUUCUUCUUAACAAGUCGCUGCCUUGGAGGUCAUUGCGACGAGAGAAGGCUACAGACUUGGAAGAGCAGCACACCCUGAGUGCUGUCUGGUGCGCCUCCCACGGCCCUUGAAAAUUUGAGGGAAGAACUGCACGCCUGACCGUACCGAAACCGCAGCAGGUCUCCGAGGUUAGCAGCCUCUAGUCCGUAGAACAAUGUAGAUAAGGGAAUUCGGCAAACUGGAUCUGUAACUUUGGGAAAAAGAUUGGCUCUGAGGGCUAGGUCCAAGACCCCGGCUCGUUUCGUGGAGUUCUGCGAACUGUUGGCAACUUCGGUGAGUGGAAUGAAGCGGGACAGCCGGUCAGUCGAAGACAGCGAAUAGCCGGCUCAGAACUGGAGCAGCGAGAGGAAUCCGACUGUUUAAUUAAAACACAGCAUUGUGAGGGCCUGAAAAGGUGUUGACACAAUGUGAUUUCUGCCCAGUGCUCUGAAUGUCAACGUGAAGAAAUUCAAACAAGCGCGGGUAAACGGCGGGAGUAACUAUGACUCUCUUAAGGUAGCCAAAUGCCUCGUCAUCUAAUUAGUGACGUGCAUGAAUGGAUUAACGAGAUUCCUACUGUCCCUAUCUACUAUCCAGCGAAACCACAGCCAAGGGAACGGGCUUGGCGGAAUCAGCGGGGAAAGAAGACCCUGUUGAGUUUGACUCUAGUCUGGCUUUGUGAAAUGGCGUAGGAGGUGUAGCCAAGUGGGAGCCCUGCGACCUUGAAAAACCACUACUCUUGAUGUCAUUUUACUUACCUCGUUGGGUUGAAGCCGCUCAGCGGUUCUAGCCUUAUGGUCAACGCGGGAGACAGAGCCAGGUGGGGAGUUUGGCUGGGGCGGCACAUCUGUUAAAAGGUAACGCAGGUGUCCUAUGGCAAGCUCAGAGAGAACAGAAAUCUCUUGUCGACCAAAAGGGGAAAAGCUUGCUUGAUUUUGAUUCUCAGUACGAAUGCAAACUGUGAAAGCAUGGCCUAUCGAUCCUUUGCUUUUUACGAGUCUUAAACCAGAGGUGUCAGAAAAAUUACCACAGGGAUAACUGGCUUGUGGCAGCCAAGCGUUCAUAGCGACGU
RNAcentral lists this ribosomal RNA (2056 nucleotides) under Lolium perenne. RNAcentral describes it as "eukaryotic LSU rRNA". It matches the Rfam family "Eukaryotic large subunit ribosomal RNA", at positions 669 to 2863 of the family's 3401-position model. The record is from RNAcentral. Lineage: Eukaryota; Viridiplantae; Streptophyta; Magnoliopsida; Poales; Poaceae.